Long non-coding RNA from Oncorhynchus tshawytscha (Chinook salmon), 2478 nucleotides. NCBI's taxonomy places the organism in Eukaryota, Metazoa, Chordata, Actinopteri, Salmoniformes, Salmonidae. The record is from Ensembl.
GGCUACUAGGGCUAUAGUGCCACUAACAAAGAUAACUACCCACAAAAUACAAAGGAAAAAAGGCUGCCUAAGUAUGAUUCCCAAUCAGAGACAACGAUAGACAGCUGUCCCUGAUUGAGAACCAUAGCCUGGCAAAACAUAGAUAUAGAAAACAUAGAAAUAAAGAAACUAGAAUGCCCACCCUAGUCACACCCUGGCCUACCCAAAAUAGAGAAUAAAAGCCUCUCUAUGGCCAGGGUGUGACAAGUAUAGUGACAAUGACCAUUUUCUAGCAUUAGUAUCGGCCUUUCUCCCCACACCUAAUAAUAUCACAUUGAGGGGUGCUGGCCACUGUCUGAUGGCUAUAGGUGAGAGACAUUAACAAUAUGAACAAUCCAUUACUAAUUAUCCAUCUUUAAUGUGAAUGAAGACGUGGGCGGGGCAAUCAAUUGUGGGGGCAGUAGUCCAAUUAUAAUAUCUAAACUGAAGUGGGUCUGGGUAUGGUGUAUAAAGUCCCCUCUGGUGGUAUUGAAUUCAGACGAGUCUUCCUGCAGGAGAAGAGUCGGGACGUGACCUGUAAAAAAGAAGCGUGCGUAAUUUACAAUGGCGAAAUGGGAAAUGCGAAUGGACGUUCUAAAAUGUUUGGCGGUGCUUGAGCUGGAUGACAUGGAUUCAGACGCAAGGGGGGAACUUGAUGAGAUGUAUCAAGAGAUCUAUGAUGAUAAAUAUGGCAUUUUUUCAGUAGAUUCCGAUUCUGACAGUGAGACGUAUGGGAUCCCUCCUAGGGUGCCAGCGGCACCACAACGCAAUCAGCAAAACUCCCGCAGUUGCUACAGUCAACAUGGGCGCAAAAAAGCCUCUACGUUGCCCACUGUGGAGCCGUCAUCAACUGAGAUGGAGAGAGAUAAUACGGGGGUGGACGGCACAGUUUGGGUGAAACAGCCUGUUGGUAACGCCACGGGUCGAUUAUUAACACAGAACGACACCAGAGUGGAAUCAGGCCCUACACCAUAUGCAAAAGACAGAAUCGACGGUGCCUACGCCAGCUUUCAUUGUUUGUGUGACAUGGAGAUGUUGCAGCGCAUCAGGGACUGCACUGUGGCUGAGGCGCACCGGGUGCAAGGAAAAAACAAAACAUGGGACUUGUCUGUGGAGGAAUUGGAAGCAUUCAUUGCGGUCCUGUAUGUCCGUGGGCUACACGGCAAUAGACUAGCGUCUUUGGAUGGCUACUGGUCAUGUUUAAAAUUAGAUUUCUUUCGAGACACCAUGCCAAUGGACCGCUUCACAGAAAUCUUGCGGUACCUGCGUUUUGACACCAGAGAGAUCAGACGCCCCCGAACAUAUUCGAACAAAUUCGCCGUGGUCUCAGAAGUUUGGAACGCGUUUGUACGGAACUGCAUUGCAUGUUACAAGCCAGGGUUGAACAUCACUGUUGAGGAGCAAUGGUUCCUUUCAAGUGGAGAGGUCAUCAAGUGUGCGUUUACCGCUGACGUAGACAGCAAGUACGUGCUAAAUAUCAUUCCUUAUGUCGUUCCUUAUUCGGGGGAAGAUGAAUCUCAGAAGCCUGAAAAUGUGGCAUUGAAGCUUGUGGAACCUUACCUCGGUGCGGGGAGAACGGUCACUACGGACAAGUUCUGCACAUCCCUGCCAUUAGCAAAUACGUUGAUUGCCAACAAAACCAACUUGGUCGGGGCAGUGAGUCAUUGCGGACGAGAGCUGCCUCCCGUGAUGCGUAAUCAGGCACAGACAAAGCUAUACUCCACUACCGUGCUAAAGCAUGACAAAGCAACCCUUACGGUUUACAGAAGUAACCCAAGAAAGAACGUCUGUAUUCUGAGCACUAUGCACCCGACUGUCGCCAUCGGGAAUGACCGAACGAGAGAACCGGAGACCGUGACGUUCUAUAAUAGCAACAGGGUUGAUGUAAAUACGAUGACAAGAGAGCGUACGGUGGCGGUUGUGACAGGGUUGGAGAAAGGAGGUUCACACCGCUGGCCCCUUGCGGUAUUCUUCAACCUUCUUGACCUGGCUGCAAUCAACGCAUAUGUUUUGUUCACGCAAUGCACCGCUAAGACAGUGUCAACGAGAGAUUUCAUCAUGGAUCUGGCAUUCGAGCUUCGCGAGAAGCACAUGAGGGCCAAUGCCGCACCGCCUCCUCCCCUCCCACCCAUCCAGGACACAGUCUGUGAAACGAAGACCCACAGCAAGGUGCGCAGAUCGACACGGAACAAGGCUCCCAAAAGCUGUGGGUAGUGCAACGGAUUUGCUAGUGGAUCUUGCGCACGCAAAUGUCCAGAACAACAGAAGACGAGAUAUUAAUUCUUGCGUUAGGCUAAAGGCGCAUAUCCCAAAGGCACAAGUUACAGUCUCCAGUGAAUUAACAACCGAGUCUUUGUUAUAGCAUGGAUAUAUUGCCACUAAUUCUCCUGUAUGCAUGUAAAGUUUCAACAUUGUGUUUGCACCCUACCAAUUGUGUUACAAAUAAAAUGCAGAAACUUG